CCUGCCCCCAGCUGCAGGUGCAGCUGCUGUGUCACGUGUGCCUCGGUAGGCGGCUGAGAGGAGAGAGGCUGUGUCUACACUCAGUGUUCUGACAGUGUGAACAUCUGACAGAUUGGUAGUCUAACAUU
Molecule: small nucleolar RNA, 128 nt
Organism: Apodemus sylvaticus (European woodmouse)
Lineage: Eukaryota; Metazoa; Chordata; Mammalia; Rodentia; Muridae
Product: small nucleolar RNA SNORA17
Exons: 1
Source: RefSeq, a predicted model, not a curated record